RNAcentral lists this transfer RNA (75 nucleotides) under Microcaldota archaeon. RNAcentral describes it as "tRNA-Glu". It matches the Rfam family "tRNA". Rfam says of the family: Transfer RNA (tRNA) molecules are approximately 80 nucleotides in length. Their secondary structure includes four short double-helical elements and three loops (D, anti-codon, and T loops). The record is from RNAcentral. Lineage: Archaea; Nanobdellati; Microcaldota.
GCUCCAGUCGUCUAGUUCGGUCAAGGAUCCCGGCCUUUCGAGUCGGCGACCCGGGUUCAAAUCCCGGCUGGAGCA